AAGCCAUGCAUGUCUCAGUGCAAGCCGUCUAGUACGGUGAAACCGCGAAAGGCUCAUUAAAUCAGUUAUGGUUCCUUAGAUCGUACCAAAGUUACUUGGAUAACUGUGGUAAUUCUAGAGCUAAUACAUGCCGACAGAGUUCCGACCAAGUGCACGGCUUCGGCCGUGCAUUCGGAAGGAACGCUUUUAUUAGAUCAAAACCGGCUAGACGGUCGUUUCGCUUCGGCGACUCGGCUCGUCAACGGCCCGCGCAAAGACUUGGUGACUCUGAAUAACUUUGAGCUGAUCGCACGGUCUCGUACCGGCGACGUAUCUUUCAAAUGUCUGCCUUAUCAACUGUCGACGGUAGGUUCGACGCCUACCGUGGUGGUAACGGGUAACGGGGAAUCAGGGUUCGAUUCCGGAGAGGGAGCCUGAGAAACGGCUACCACAUCCAAGGAAGGCAGCAGGCGCGCAAAUUACCCACUCCCAGUUCGGGGAGGUAGUGACGAAAAAUAACGAUACGGGACUCAUUUGAGGCCCCGUAAUCGGAAUGAGUACACUUUAAAACCUUGGUCAC
RNAcentral lists this ribosomal RNA (559 nucleotides) under Rhizoecus dianthi. RNAcentral describes it as "bacterial SSU rRNA". It matches the Rfam family "Eukaryotic small subunit ribosomal RNA", at positions 46 to 538 of the family's 1831-position model. The record is from RNAcentral. Lineage: Eukaryota; Metazoa; Arthropoda; Insecta; Hemiptera; Pseudococcidae.